Molecule: long non-coding RNA, 1526 nt
Organism: Zonotrichia albicollis (white-throated sparrow)
Lineage: Eukaryota; Metazoa; Chordata; Aves; Passeriformes; Passerellidae
Source: RefSeq, a predicted model, not a curated record
CGGAUUAGCAACAGCUGCAAGUCAUUAGUGGCAGCCAUGGGAAAGCACAGCUCUGCACCCCGCUCGGCAAUAACCAACAUUUCGGCAGCUUGGGUUUCUAUUUUGAUCAGUCCCCGGAAAAGCUGAUUUUACUUCAAAGCAUCUCUGACUCUUGGAGGAGCAGGAAGCUGGUGGCCUAUUAAUAGAGAGCAGAAUCCAACAUCACUGAGGCAUGGCUGAUUCCCCAGCACCCCUGACAUAUUAGGCUCUAUCUGCCCUCCUUUCUCUCUGGCUCAGCACGGCUUUCACCAUCACAGGUGCAGUGCCCAAGCUGUGUGUGUGGUUUUGUGGUCCACAAGAAGGACCUGUCUGCCUUGCCCCAGCCAGACGGGAACCCCAUCCCUGCCUUGCACUGACUAUUGCCAUGAGGAGGUGGAAGCAUGUGACAGAGUUGACAGCAAGAUGUACAAAUGCUGAUAUCCAGUACUUCAAAAUAAUACCCCUUGAACUUCUGUUUUUUCUCCAGGAGGGGAAUAGGAGGAAAAGGAAUGGAAUCAAGGAAAGUAGUCACAGAGACUAGAGAAAUGGAAAGCUGAGUGGACAGAAAAGACCUUUCUGGAAAGGCCAUGGUCACCCUGACCCUUGUAGCCCCUGGAUUUCUUUCCAGCUUCAGUUACUUUCAGCUUCCCACCUGCAACUCCCAACACAGGCCUUAUUUCUUAUCUUCAGUCCCAAGCCUCGCUAAUUACCAAGGUUUUGUCAGACCCAGCUUUCUCCAAUUCCCUUCCUCAUAUGUUCUCUCUGCUGUUACUAGAAAAGCUGAAUUUGGUUUCCUCAUGGAUGACAUCAUUUACAUGGAGGCAAAAAUGGGAUUUAGCCUUGUCUUCCAAGGCCUCUUAAGAUGGCUCUACAAACAGUAAGAAACAUGCAAACAGAGCAUUUAAGGUAACACAGGGAAGUAUAAUUUUAAGGUAAAAUAAAAGUGAAUAAUCUCAAAAGACCAAGCAUUGCAAAUAUUUGCAUCUUCUAGUGCAAAGGUAAAACCAAGGGGAAAAGAGGGUGAAGGCACCUUAGUUCCAACAUUCCCUCAGUUCUGCAGCUGUUUCCAUUGGAACACUAUUUUAGGAUCACAAAAGUCUACAGAGAGCAAGACAAGUAUUUGUAAAUGAGCUUCAUUGCUACAAGGUGCAGAACGUGAGGUGGCUUUCUGUGUGGUGCCUGAAGGAAGCUCUGAGAAAAGUCCUAGGUGUUCUCCAUGUACUUCUGUCCCUUUGGUGCUGAGCCUAAAAAUAUGCAUGAAAAAAGAUGGAAGAACAAUGUGCUGGUGGUGUUUUGGUGGAUGUCUGUCUUCUAGAAGUCUGAGUCAAGAUGUUGGAUGGGCACCAAAAAGCAUUAUCUCCUUCAUGUGUCAGCAAUUAUUCUCAUGAAUGAGAACUAUUGGAAGAACCUGUCUACAUCAAAUUCAGGUCCAACUCUGUUCUUGUGUGAAACAUUAAUAUAAACCAGUAAUAUUAAUCUUUGCUGAUCUGUGCACUCAGUAUACUACU